RNAcentral lists this ribosomal RNA (498 nucleotides) under uncultured bacterium. Its description in RNAcentral is "partial 16S ribosomal RNA". It matches the Rfam family "Bacterial small subunit ribosomal RNA", at positions 28 to 523 of the family's 1533-position model. The record is from RNAcentral.
GUUGAACGCUGGCGGAAUGCUUUACACAUGCAAGUCGAACGAUAUUACCCAGCUUGCUGGGUAUGAAAGUGGCGCACGGGUGCGUAACGCGUAUGCAACCUACCUUAUUCAGGGGGAUAGCCCGAAGAAAUUCGGAUUAACACCGCAUAAAAUCACAGUUCAGCAUUGGACAAUGAUCAAAUAUUUAUAGGAAUAAGAUGGGCAUGCGUGUCAUUAGCUAGUUGGCGGGGUAACGGCCCACCAAGGCGACGAUGACUAGGGGAUCUGAGAGGAUGACCCCCCACACUGGUACUGAGACACGGACCAGACUCCUACGGGAGGCAGCAGUAAGGAAUAUUGGUCAAUGGAGGCAACUCUGAACCAGCCAUGCCGCGUGCAGGAAGACGGCCCUCUGGGUUGUAAACUGCUUUUAUUCGGGAAUAAACCUAUUUACGUGUAAAUAGCUGAAUGUACCGAAGGAAUAAGGAUCGGCUAACUCCGUGCCAGCCGCCGCGGUAA